Morus notabilis is the source of this 3134-nucleotide RNA transcript. RefSeq lists it as uncharacterized. The record is from RefSeq and is a predicted model, not a curated record. Lineage: Eukaryota; Viridiplantae; Streptophyta; Magnoliopsida; Rosales; Moraceae. The transcript has 3 exons.
CGCCAUCACUGUCUCCUUCUACUUCUUCCUUCCUCACAUUCUUCUUCCUCUUCUUCUUCUUCGUCUGCAAAAUUCCUAAAACCCUAAUAAUCACCGAAAUUCAAUUUCACCAUUAUCUUCAUCUCUGUAAAUAGCUUUCCAAUCCCAAUCCCACGUAUGGUUUCGUAUCAUCAAACAGAGAAAUCAGAAUCGCCAACUUUCUAAAUACCAAAACGAAGAUUCAGUCUUUGAAGAAGAUGAAGCUUGUAUAUCUUCUCUGCUUCGUAAUCCUUUCCAUGGCGACUCGUUCCGAUUCGCGGCCGCAGAAGAAGGUGGCGGCGACGACGACGGUGUACGAUGCGUUGAAGCAGCACGGGCUGCCGAUGGGGCUGUUGCCGAAGGGCGUGAAGGACUUCGAAAUCGACGAGAACGGGAAUUUCCAAGUUCAUUUGGAUAAGGCCUGCAAUGCCAAGUUCGAGAGCGAGUUGCAUUACGACAGGAACGUCUCGGGGACGCUGAGCUACGGCCAGAUCGGGGCCUUGUCGGGGAUUUCGGCGCAGGAGCUCUUCCUCUGGUUUCCGGUGAAGGGGAUUCGCGUCGACAUACCUAGCUCCGGCCUCAUCUACUUCGACGUCGGUGUCGUCUUCAAGCAAUUCUCUCUCUCGCUCUUCGAAUCCCCACCCGAGUGCGUCGCUGUUCGGACUCUCGACCGGAAUGAUUUUUCAGAUUCAAAGAGGGAAUCGGGGAAACUUCGAUAUCAGCGUGAUCAAGAAACUUUUGGGAGAGACGUUGUGUAGGAUCGAUCAAGGAUUAUAUAUAUAUUGGAGGGAAACGGUUGAAAUGAAAAUUUUUAAGUUGGCCUAUAGCUCAAUCAGCUUAUGGGUAAUCUCUACUCCACCAUGUAUAUUUCUUUUUCCCCUGUGAUACGGAGUCUAGGUUUUUUCUGUGGGUCCUGAUAGCUUCCUUUCCAGACUUCCAUUGUGUGCUUGCGUUGCUUGCCAUUUUGUUUUUCCUUUCCCCGCUGUAGUGCAGAGAGUCUGCAAAUUAGUCCCGCCUGCUCCUGCGGAUGUUGUUGGGAGGUGGUUGUGAAAAAACGCGAGGGAAAUUCGGAUGAGCGGCGAAUGAUUGGUUCGCACAUUGUAGAAGAGGAUUCAAGUGAGGCAGGAGCAUUCUCGGGUGAGUUGAGGCGAAUUCAGGUGACGAAUCUGCGAAAAGUGGUUUUACAUUGUGUAAACCUUGACGGACUCUAUUUCCAUUGACAAAGAGUACUUGAGCAGAUGGUUUGACUAGUGAUGCUUUUGAGACUAAGUCUCUACUUCUGCAGUGGAUUUUUGAUCUAGAGGUCAUUUCUCCAAGACCAAAUUUUCACCUUGUUUCUUCAAUAGCCAGUAAUAGUCGUUAUCAACUUUCUAAUUUUUGGUUUGGCUAGGUAGACAUACUAACACUUGUAUUCCGAAAUUUUUUUUUUUUUUAUAACUCUAUUCGGUUGGUUACUUUGGACGAGUUUUACUGAAUAUUUGUUUUUUUGCACGUCUGUGGUUGGUGAGGUAUGUUUUAAAAUUUAAGACGUGAUAGUUUAAAAGCUUAUUCUGUACUUUGAAUCUUUUCGUUUUUUGGUUUAGGGUUUUCUUUAUGUUGUCCCCUAGUCACUGAUGGACACAUCGGUGGUUGUUGGUUCAUUGAUGACAUUUUGUUUUGUGAUACUCGUAUGAGGCUAACUUUGUUUUGCGUUUAUUCAGGGACAUUUUCUCUUUCAGGUUAACUGCUGUCCUUUUCCAUAAUUAGUCCUCUCUCUCGAUGACAUUAUGGUUGUAAGUAAAGUUCUCAACUAGUUGCUACUACUUUUUAUCGUAUGAAAAGGAUGCCUAGUUGAGAUGGAACAUAACAACAUCUUAGCACUUGUUUUAUAUUAGUGGAUGAGUCAAAAUAAUUAUUCUCAAGUUAUUGCUUCAAUCUGAGGAUUAGACUGCAUUGCGCUGUGUUGAAGUCGGUUGCUAACUUGUUGGUCACGUAAUGCAGGGCCUGGAUUCGACCUUCAUGGUCUAUUUGAAUUUUCUUAUUCGUUGCAUUUGUAGAAAAGAAUUUCUGGCAUAUUUUUUCCAUCAACUUAGUUAUAGUUUUCGACAUACUGAAACUAACCCUGUUCCGAAGAUUUGAUUCUGGAAAACUUUGUUGAAUAAACUUUACUGCUUGAGUGCUUUCUUCUUUGGCUGAAAGUUUGGUACAGAAUUAAGACAUUGGUGGACCGUAUAACAACGUUGAAAUUUCAUAGGACGAAUUUGUGAGAAAAUAGUCAGGUUCAUUUAAAAAAAAAAAAAAAAGGUUUAGAUCUGUCUUUAGUUGUAGUUUUGGCAGGGUGUUUGUCUGAUCUCUCGACAUCCCAUGUGUACCGGCACCCAGUAUGUUUGUUCAAUUAAAGAUCCAUGUGGUCCUGCUCAGUUUAUUAGGCGGGUACUGUUGUAUACUUGCACACAUAAUGGCAAUACAGACAAAGAUGGCCAGCAGGAUCAGAUGCCAUUGGAGAGAAGCAAACGUAAUACUGUUCAUUCUGUGAGUAACAAAUAGAAAUAGGUACUGGUUGGAAGUUGGAACUUAAUUUGACUAAAAAGAGAGUAAAAAAGAAACACGACAAACAUGACAAAAAAUCCAGCAUCGUCUUCUUAUUGGAUUUACCAAUGAAACUAACCAUUUCAACGAAAAUAAAUUUCACCAAGAUUAGACUAUGAUAUAAAAGCAACUGUCAAAGUCAUUUGGCUACUCAAACUUGCAAAAUUUUGACCAAAUUGUCGCAAUCGAAUGUUCUUAAGAAUAUCUUAUAGCUCCAAAACAAAGUGUGGGUCAGAUGGGGAAAGGGGAAAAAAGAGUUUGUAGAGAAAAAAUGCUGGAUAUCUUUAAUCGAGAAUGAUAUAUAAACACUUCUUUUUUGCUCCGGGUUUAUGCUAUGCUUCUCUUUGGUAGAUGUGUUCAUAAUCUAAACGAGUGCAAGUUGUAUGUGUAUUUCCCAUAAACCAGCUUUAGUAAUUGAGGAACUUUUCUGAUUUCUGAUGAAUGAACUUUCUUGUGGCAUAUAGUUGGUGGACUGAGGAAUUAAAUGUAAAACUCCUUUAAACCACGUUUAUUUGGCUAUCCGCUUAAACGAAGGGAUUAAAAAAAAA